UACGAAGGGGGCUAGCGUUGCUCGGAAUGACUGGGCGUAAAGGGCGCGUAGGCGGCCUUGUAAGUCGGGCGUGAAAUUCCUGGGCUCAACCUGGGGACUGCGUUCGAGACUGCGGGGCUUGAGGACGGAAGAGGCUCGUGGAAUUCCCAGUGUAGAGGUGAAAUUCGUAGAUAUUGGGAAGAACACCGGUGGCGAAGGCGGCGAGCUGGUCCGUAUCUGACGCUGAGGCGCGACAGCGUGGGGAGCAAACAGG
Molecule: ribosomal RNA, 253 nt
Filed under: uncultured bacterium
Lineage: Bacteria
Description: partial 16S ribosomal RNA
Rfam family: Bacterial small subunit ribosomal RNA
Source: RNAcentral